Molecule: ribosomal RNA, 498 nt
Filed under: uncultured bacterium
Lineage: Bacteria
Description: partial 16S ribosomal RNA
Rfam family: Bacterial small subunit ribosomal RNA
Source: RNAcentral
GAUGAACGCUGGCGGCGUGCCUAAUACAUGCAAGUCGAGCGAACAGACGAGGAGCUUGCUCCUCUGACGUUAGCGGCGGACGGGUGAGUAACACGUGGAUAACCUACCUAUAAGACUGGGAUAACUUCGGGAAACCGGAGCUAAUACCGGAUAAUAUAUUGAACCGCAUGGUUCAAUAGUGAAAGACGGUUUUGCUGUCACUUAUAGAUGGAUCCGCGCCGCAUUAGCUAGUUGGUAAGGUAACGGCUUACCAAGGCGACGAUGCGUAGCCGACCUGAGAGGGUGAUCGGCCACACUGGAACUGAGACACGAUCCAGACUCCUACGGGAGGCAGCAGUAGGGAAUCUUCCGCAAUGGGCGAAAGCCUGACGGAGCAACGCCGCGUGAGUGAUGAAGGUCUUCGGAUCGUAAAACUCUGUUAUUAGGGAAGAACAAAUGUGUAAGUAACUAUGCACGUCUUGACGGUACCUAAUCAGAAAGCCACGGCUAACUACGUGC